Molecule: non-coding RNA, 123 nt
Organism: Shewanella woodyi ATCC 51908
Lineage: Bacteria; Pseudomonadati; Pseudomonadota; Gammaproteobacteria; Alteromonadales; Shewanellaceae
Source: Rfam
UUAUCUAUAAUUGUUUACAGGUUCUAAACUCAACGACCUCGUUAUUACGGGGUUUUUUGUUAUCUGGAACUUAUAAAAUGCCGAUUAAUCGGUGUUGUACUGGGGCUAUUUAGCCCUUUUUUG